AUUGCACUAUUAAUCAGAAACUGUUCACGGUUUAUGGACUUGUUUCCUUCAUGCAGUGCAAAGAAAGAUGAUAAUCAUACUCACUUUACCCGUACGUCUGUUGACAUUGUCAAGCAGUGAUGGCGUAUGGGUCAUUAUCGUAUGACACAUUCU
RNAcentral lists this small nucleolar RNA (153 nucleotides) under Schizosaccharomyces cryophilus OY26. RNAcentral's name for it is "small nucleolar RNA snR90". It matches the Rfam family "small nucleolar RNA snR90". Lineage: Eukaryota; Fungi; Ascomycota; Schizosaccharomycetes; Schizosaccharomycetales; Schizosaccharomycetaceae. The record is from Rfam by way of RNAcentral.